RNAcentral lists this ribosomal RNA (253 nucleotides) under uncultured bacterium. Its description in RNAcentral is "partial 16S ribosomal RNA". It matches the Rfam family "Bacterial small subunit ribosomal RNA", at positions 524 to 776 of the family's 1533-position model. The record is from RNAcentral.
UACGGAGGGUGCAAGCGUUAUCCGGAUUCACUGGGUUUAAAGGGUGCGUAGGCGGACAGGUAAGUCAGUGGUGAAAUCUCCGAGCUUAACUCGGGAACUGCCGUUGAUACUAUUUGACUUGAAUACUGUGGAGGUAAGCGGAAUAUGUCAUGUAGCGGUGAAAUGCGUAGAUAUGACAUAGAACACCAAUUGCGAAGGCAGCUUACUGGACAGUUAUUGACGCUGAGGCACGAAAGCGUGGGGAGCAAACAGG